Molecule: ribosomal RNA, 484 nt
Filed under: uncultured bacterium
Lineage: Bacteria
Description: partial 16S ribosomal RNA
Rfam family: Bacterial small subunit ribosomal RNA
Source: RNAcentral
AUUGAACGCUGGCGGCAUGCCUUACACAUGCAAGUCGAACGGCAGCACGGGAGCAAUCCUGGUGGCGAGUGGCGAACGGGUGAGUAAUACAUCGGAACGUGCCCAAUCGUGGGGGAUAACGCAGCGAAAGCUGUGCUAAUACCGCAUACGAUCUACGGAUGAAAGCAGGGGACCGCAAGGCCUUGCGCGAAUGGAGCGGCCGAUGGCAGAUUAGGUAGUUGGUGGGGUAAAGGCUCACCAAGCCAACGAUCUGUAGCUGGUCUGAGAGGACGACCAGCCACACGGGGACUGAGACACGGCCCAGACUCCUACGGGAGGCAGCAGUGGGGAAUUUUGGACAAUGGGCGCAAGCCUGAUCCAGCCAUGCCGCGUGCAGGAUGAAGGCCUUCGGGUUGUAAACUGCUUUUGUACGGAACGAAACGGCCUUUUCUAAUAAAGAGGGCUAAUGACGGUACCGUAAGAAUAAGCACCGGCUAACUACGUG